RNAcentral lists this ribosomal RNA (253 nucleotides) under uncultured bacterium. Its description in RNAcentral is "partial 16S ribosomal RNA". It matches the Rfam family "Bacterial small subunit ribosomal RNA", at positions 524 to 776 of the family's 1533-position model. The record is from RNAcentral.
GACGGAGGAUGCAAGUGUUAUCCGGAAUCACUGGGCGUAAAGGGUCUGUAGGUGGUUUUUUAAGUCUGCUGUUAAAGCUUGAAGCUCAACUUCAAAAAUGCAUCGGAAACUAGAAAACUUGAGUAUGGUAGGGGUAGAGGGAAUUUCCAGUGAAGUGGUGAAAUGCGUAGAUAUUGGAAAGACCACCAAAGGCGAAGGCACUCUACUGGGCCACAACUGACACUGAGAGACGAAAGCUAGGGGAGCGAAUGGG